CACUUUAGCUGAGUUAGUGAUUGGCUAAAGCUUAUUAAUGCAUUAUUUGGAGAGACAAAAUGUCACUAAAUGCUGAACAAACUGCAACAAUCCUGGCUGAAUUCGGUCGUAGUGAA
This is a regulatory RNA element of Shewanella sediminis HAW-EB3, 116 nucleotides long. It matches the Rfam family "Ribosomal S15 leader". From Rfam's summary of the family: The E. coli Ribosomal S15 gene 5' UTR can form two alternative structures. One that is a series of three hairpins, The other includes a pseudoknot. Lineage: Bacteria; Pseudomonadati; Pseudomonadota; Gammaproteobacteria; Alteromonadales; Shewanellaceae. The record is from Rfam.